RNAcentral lists this transfer RNA (72 nucleotides) under Fusarium oxysporum f. sp. cubense race 1. RNAcentral describes it as "tRNA-Pro (AGG) (tRNA-Pro-AGG-2-1, tRNA-Pro-AGG-2-2)". It matches the Rfam family "tRNA". Rfam says of the family: Transfer RNA (tRNA) molecules are approximately 80 nucleotides in length. Lineage: Eukaryota; Fungi; Ascomycota; Sordariomycetes; Hypocreales; Nectriaceae. The record is from RNAcentral.
GGUCUGGUGGUCUGGUGGUAUGAUUCUCGCUUAGGGUGCGAGAGGUCCCGGGUUCAAUCCCCGGCCAGACCC